AUCCGGGUUGCGGACAGUGUCUGGUGGGUAGUUUGACUGGGGCGGUCUCCUCCUAAAGAGUAACGGAGGAGCACGAAGGUUGGCUAAUCCUGGUCGGACAUCAGGAGGUUAGUGCAAUGGCAUAAGCCAGCUUGACUGCGAGCGUGACGGCGCGAGCAGGUGCGAAAGCAGGUCAUAGUGAUCCGGUGGUUCUGAAUGGAAGGGCCAUCGCUCAACGGAUAAAAGGUACUCCGGGGAUAACAGGCUGAUACCGCCCAAGAGUUCAUAUCGACGGCGGUGUUUGGCACCUCGAUGUCGGCUCAUCACAUCCUGGGGCUGAAGUAGGUCCCAAGGGUAUGGCUGUUCGCCAUUUAAAGUGGUACGCGAGCUGGGUUUAGAACGUCGUGAGACAGUUCGGUCCCUAUCUGCCGUGGGCGCUGGAGAACUGAGGGGGGCUGCUCCUAGUACGAGAGGACCGGAGUGGACGCAUCACUGGUGUUCGGGUUGUCAUGCCAAUGGCACUGCCCGGUAGCUAAAUGCGGAAGAGAUAAGUGCUGAAAGCAUCUAAGCACGAAACUUGCCCCGAGAUGAGUUCUCCCUGAGACUUAGAGUCUCCUGAAGGAACGUUGAAGACGACGACGUUGAUAGGCCGGGUGUGUAAGCGCAGCGAUGCGUUGAGCUAACCGGUACUAAUGAACCGUGAGGCU
This 686-nucleotide ribosomal RNA is filed under the name Salmonella enterica. RNAcentral describes it as "partial 23S ribosomal RNA". It matches the Rfam family "Bacterial large subunit ribosomal RNA", at positions 2238 to 2925 of the family's 2925-position model. Lineage: Bacteria; Pseudomonadati; Pseudomonadota; Gammaproteobacteria; Enterobacterales; Enterobacteriaceae. The record is from RNAcentral. RNAcentral also lists the same sequence under 1 other name.